This is a non-coding RNA of Oncorhynchus mykiss (rainbow trout), 479 nucleotides long. The record is from RefSeq and is a predicted model, not a curated record. Lineage: Eukaryota; Metazoa; Chordata; Actinopteri; Salmoniformes; Salmonidae.
GCGUCACGCGGUUGUUAAGAUAAUCGUCAUGCAAUUCCUUGUCGAGAAAUGUGCCUAUUUUCUUCGAAAGUACGUAAUGCCACGAUUCCAAUGCUAUACGAUACUACAAAUAACAAGUUAAUUACCUCACAUCUCGGUAAAGACUAGUAAUGUUGUACUUCUUGUUGACUAAAUUCGUGUUAAUGUUGGGUUUUUGAGCUAGCGCCCAGUAGACUCCAUUCACUCCGUGAAGGAGAGCGAUCCCUGUCCCAGAGUCGCCCAGAAUGCACUGCGUGGACCAAUGACUUAGGCUUGUCAUCUCUUCAAAAGUAUAUCUGCCGUUGUGAUUUCAACUCCACUCUGGGAGACACAUCGAUCUGCAGGUUGAACAUGAUCUCCAGGCUCAAAGCGUCAGUCCACCAGCUGAAUACUCAGUCAGACUGGUGGAUGGGACCACUUCCUGUUCUGGGACAGUGGAAGUCUUCUACAGAGGAGAGUGG